CAAUAACACAAAUAACAAACCACUUCUUUUAAUGUUUUAUACAUGUUAUUGUUUUCAGAUUUCCGCUUUUGCUAGAAAAAUUAUAAAAACUUUAGAAUUAUUUACUAUUACCUUCAAAUUAAUGCACGUUUCGAACAUACUUUUUUAGUUUCACUAGCGACAAUUGGGGUUUCAUAAAAAAACAAGAGCGAUGAGUCAUAAGAUCGACAUUUAUAAAAGCUAAAUUUAAAAAAAAAUCGUAUUCGAUUAAGAAACUAAACAUGUUGUUCUGUUUUCUCAGGGGAAAAGAUGAAAUUAAAAUAAAAGUUUAAUGAGUAUUUUUAUUAUAAAGUCAAAUAUUAAUGGACGAUUACUAUAAGACUUCUGUAUUACCGACUAAGAUGCUUUGUAUAGUUUCUGCCGUGUAGAAAUCCUGUUAAGAGCAGUGCAUGGCAUUUUAGCGGACGUUUUUAAUUGUUUGUGUUUUUGGUUGUGUUUUCUGUAUUUGCAUUGAUAGUUGUUUUAUAUCCAUACAAUGUUCUAUUACAUCUGUAAAAUAUGGUUAGUUAAAUACAACUGUAUUCUCCGACAAAGAUUUUAUAUAAAUGUAUAUUACUUUUUCUUUUUUGUUAUUUUUCUUAAAAUAUAAGUAUGUACCAUAGCUGUUUGUUUAGUCAGUUCACUAAAACAUGUCUUGCAUUUACUGCUAGAAAAAAACCACUAUGUUUAAAUGUCACGUACAAUCUACACCUCAACUAAGAGAAAGACAGAGAUUGUUUUCCUGGUCUGCUAAUCCAUACAUCAGCCAAGUAUUCUAUCUCUGUUUGAUUCACAAUGUUUUUUUUUUCAUCUUUUUGGUCAGUUUAUUUUCGAUCUUUGAGUUUGACUGUCCCUCUUGUAUCUUUCGCCCCUCUUUUCUAAUAUUUUUAUAUACACACAAUUACAUGUGGGUUGUUAAAUUUUAAAUAAAUUAUGUAACUGUUCUUUUUUAAUCUCAUUUAUUGGUAAAUUUAAAGUUUCUUAUAUAUCUGUUUCUUUUUGGAAUCCAAUUAUUGUUUAUUAUGAAUUAUAUCACAUACUGAUGAUAAAAUUAGUCGUAAAAGUUGUGGAUAUGCCCAUGGUUGAAAACCAAAUUAUAUCAGUACUUAUAUUCGUGUUUAAUAAAUAACAUCCCCC
RNAcentral lists this long non-coding RNA (1155 nucleotides) under Mytilus galloprovincialis (Mediterranean mussel). The record is from RNAcentral. Lineage: Eukaryota; Metazoa; Mollusca; Bivalvia; Mytilida; Mytilidae.